This 410-nucleotide small RNA is filed under the name Oryza sativa Japonica Group (Japanese rice). RNAcentral describes it as "Os04g0656100". The record is from RNAcentral. Lineage: Eukaryota; Viridiplantae; Streptophyta; Magnoliopsida; Poales; Poaceae.
CUCCCUCUCCUCUCCACUACUAAUACCACCACCGCCGCGCCGGAGGUGGAAGACGGACGGGGUAGAGUUGGGGUCUCGCGGUGAGCCGAUUCCUCUCUAGUGGUCGCGCCUGGUGUGUUCGCCGACGACGCCGGCGUCGCGUCAGCCAUGGGUGGGCUCGAGGAGAUCAAGAAUGAGGCCGUUGAUCUGGUGAGAAAAUCACUCGCCGCCACCAGCUACCUACUACUUCUUCUUCCUCGCUUCCUCCCUCUCGCGUGUUGGGUUGCUUAGGCUUUAGCUCUAGCUUUAGUUCUUACCAUUUUUGACUGGCGAUAGAAAUAGUCUGAGAAUUGAAAAUUAAUGAUACCGGCUAGCUGGAGCUGAGUAGAUUUCUGAUACGCUUAAUAAAUGAAAAGGAAAAUUUUCCAUGU